RNAcentral lists this long non-coding RNA (1153 nucleotides) under Malus domestica (apple). RNAcentral's name for it is "long non-coding RNA (MDOM_LNC018971)". Lineage: Eukaryota; Viridiplantae; Streptophyta; Magnoliopsida; Rosales; Rosaceae. The record is from RNAcentral.
GCAAAACUGCCCAAUCGGAGAAGAAGGAGGAGAGGCGAAUCAGAAGAAGAGAGAGGGAGAAGCUGACCAACCAAAGGAAGGAAAGGAGGGAAAGGAGGGAGAGUGGUGAACGGGGGAACAUAAGGAACGGGUCGUUCUUGACCCGUGCGGCCUGCGCGACCCAUGCCUUCUAAUCGGCGGGUUCUCGCCGUUUUCGUCCAAUUUUUCGACGAAUUGAAUCAAGGUACCACUCCCAAUCACCAUCUAGGCCUUCCCUCUUCACGUUUCACCCCAAGAAUCAUUGAAUUUCAUGGUGAUUUCGCGAAGAACACCCCUACGGGUGCCGCGACUUUCUUGCCUAAAUUCUUUAAAUUUUGAAAUGUUUUCUUUCAAUUACUAACACCAUUAGCAUUCCUUUAGGACCUAGAAUAAAGCCCAAGAGGUAGUAGAGGCGUUGGAACAAGUUUGAAGGUCGAAUUGGAAACACCCAAUUCUAGGGUUCUUCACGGUUUUGGUGAAAUUGAAGCACUUCCAAGCCAACUUGGCCUUAGCCGCAGGUAUGAAAGUUGUUCUAAUCAUUGAGAUCUUCAAAUCUGCAAAUUUUGGUAAUUUUUGGAAAUAGUUGAAUUUUCCGGCGAGCCGGGGCGGCCAACCGCCACCCGCGGCGGACCACGCGGCGGCGCGUGGCCAAUGGCCCGCCAAGGUCAUUAUUAUCAUGUGUUGAGGUUCUAGGUUCAGUUUUGAUAAUUGUUGGACGUAAAUUGAAUAAUUGAACCUAAGUUGGUUACGAUUUGUGGUUAGGUGAAAAUGUGAAUUGACGAUCCGACCGUUGGAUCAUCACCAAACUUUGAUACGUUGUAAUACGUAAUAUUUGAGGAUUAUAGGAACUUACGGAUUGGGAAUCCGAUUUACGGAUCUUCCGGAAUUGGAGUUGUAAGUUCAUAAAAUAGAAUGUUAGCCGUCACUUAGUUUUGGAAAUUGACGGAGAUCUGACCGUUGGAUGGUAAUGAAAUUUUAGGAUGUUAUCCUAGAGGUAUAUUGUGGACCUCUGGAAGUUACGGAUUUGAAAUCUGAGUUGCAGAUCAUCCGGAUCGAACUACGUAGUGACGUGUCUUAUAUAAGUUAUGUAUUCUAUCGAUAUGAAUUCUGAGGUUGGAUUUGAUUAUUGUUCUAG